This is a long non-coding RNA of Oncorhynchus keta (chum salmon), 716 nucleotides long. RefSeq lists it as uncharacterized. Lineage: Eukaryota; Metazoa; Chordata; Actinopteri; Salmoniformes; Salmonidae. The record is from RefSeq and is a predicted model, not a curated record. The transcript is spliced from 3 exons.
CUGAUUGGUUCAAACAACAUAACUUUAUAGAGUGCAGGACCAUUUAUCUGAUUGGUUCAAACAACAUAACUUUAUAGAGUGCAGGACCAUUUAUCUGAUUGGUUCAAACAACAUAACUUUAUAGAGUGCAGGACCAUUUAUCUGAUUGGUUCAAACAACAUAACUUUAUAGAGUGCAGGACCAUUUAUCUGAUUGGUUCAAACAACAUAACUUUAUAGAGUGCAGGACCAUUUAUCUGAUUGGUUUCAAACAACAUAACUUUAUCAUUGUAUGACAUGGAGGAAAAGCCCGUUUCCGGGAAGGGAUCCAUGUGUGCUGCAGUCGAAGUGGAAAGAGAAAUGGAAAUAGGUUGUCUCCUUCAUGUAUGAUCGAGAUCAAUAACACUCAUAUGGCUGUAGUGUGGAGGAGAUGGAUCAGAGGUCACAAUAUACACAUUUUCAGUGAAAAUGAACAGAAAAGAGGUCUAAACAUGUUGGUGUGAAAACAGGAUUUGCAGCAUAACAGGUUUGCAGCAUAACAGGUUUGCAGCAUAACAGGAUUUGCAGCAUAACAGGUUUGCAGCAUAACAGGUUUGCAGCAUAAGCAGGUUUGCAGCAUAAGCAGGACAUAUUCAAAUAGCCAUUGUUUCCUUUUAUGCCAUUUUAGCCUACUUUAGAGGAUGAAGCAAUAAUUGAUAACUGAAACAGAUAACACACAGUAAUGAAGAUACCUCCUCC